RNAcentral lists this ribosomal RNA (466 nucleotides) under uncultured bacterium. Its description in RNAcentral is "partial 16S ribosomal RNA". It matches the Rfam family "Bacterial small subunit ribosomal RNA", at positions 28 to 507 of the family's 1533-position model. The record is from RNAcentral.
GAUGAACGCUGGCGGCGUGCUUAACACAUGCAAGUCGAACGAUGACGCCCAGCUUGCUGGGUGGUUUAGUGGCGAACGGGUGAGUAACACGGGAGUAAACUGCCCUUGACUCUGGGAUAAGCCUGGGAAACUGGGUCUAAUACUGGAUAUGACUUCUCAUCGCAUGGUGGGGGGUGGAAAGAUUUAUUGGUCUUGGAUGGACUCGCGGCGUAUCAGCUUGUUGGUGAGGUAAUGGCACACCAAGGCGACGACGGGUAGCCGGCCUGAGGGGGUGACCGGCGACACUGGGACUGAGACACGGCCCAGACUCCUACGGGAGGCAGCGGUGGGGAAUAUUACACAAUGAGCGCGAGCCUGAUGCGGCGACGCCGCGUGAGGGAUGACGGCCUUCGGGUUGUGAACCUCUUUCAGAAGAGAAGAAGCGAGAGUGACGGUACCUGCAGAAGAAGCGCCGGCUAACUACGUG